GGGGAUUUAGCUCAGUGGUAGAGCGGCUGCCUAGCAAGCGCAAGGCCCUGGGUUCAGUCCCCA
RNAcentral lists this transfer RNA (63 nucleotides) under Rattus norvegicus (Norway rat). It matches the Rfam family "tRNA", at positions 1 to 62 of the family's 71-position model. From Rfam's summary of the family: Transfer RNA (tRNA) molecules are approximately 80 nucleotides in length. The record is from Rfam by way of RNAcentral. Lineage: Eukaryota; Metazoa; Chordata; Mammalia; Rodentia; Muridae.